GCGGGCGUGGCGGAAUGGUAGACGCCGGGGACUUAAAAUCCCCUGUCCUUUUGAGACGUGUGGGUUCGAGUCCCACCGCCCGCACCA
This 87-nucleotide transfer RNA is filed under the name Erythrobacter sp. EC-HK427. RNAcentral's name for it is "tRNA-Leu". It matches the Rfam family "tRNA". Rfam says of the family: Transfer RNA (tRNA) molecules are approximately 80 nucleotides in length. Their secondary structure includes four short double-helical elements and three loops (D, anti-codon, and T loops). Further hydrogen bonds mediate the characteristic L-shaped molecular structure. tRNAs have two regions of fundamental functional importance: the anti-codon, which is responsible for specific mRNA codon recognition, and the 3' end, to which the tRNAs corresponding amino acid is attached (by aminoacyl-tRNA synthetases). tRNAs cope with the degeneracy of the genetic code in two manners: having more than one tRNA (with a specific anti-codon) for a particular amino acid; and 'wobble' base-pairing, i.e. permitting non-standard base-pairing at the 3rd anti-codon position. The record is from RNAcentral. Lineage: Bacteria; Pseudomonadati; Pseudomonadota; Alphaproteobacteria; Sphingomonadales; Erythrobacteraceae.